GUGGGGAAUCUUCCGCAAUGGACGAAAGUCUGACGGAGCAACGCCGCGUGAGUGAUGAAGGUCUUCGGAUUGUAAAGCUCUGUUAAUCGGGACGAAAGAGCCUAGUGUGAAUAAUGCUAGGAAGUGACGGUACCGGAAUAGAAAGCCACGGCUAACUACGUGCCAGCAGCCGCGGUAAUACGUAGGUGGCAAGCGUUGUCCGGAAUUAUUGGGCGUAAAGCGCGCGCAGGCGGGUAUGCCAGUCUGUCUUAAAAGUUCGGGGCUUAACCCCGUGAUGGGAUGGAAACUACAGAUCUAGAGUAUCGGAGAGGAAAGUGGAAUUCCUAGUGUAGCGGUGAAAUGCGUAGAUAUUAGGAAGAACACCAGUGGCGAAGGCGACUUUCUGGACGAAAACUGACGCUGAGGCGCGAAAGCCAGGGGAGCGAACGGGAUUAGAUACCCCAGUAGUCC
This 450-nucleotide ribosomal RNA is filed under the name uncultured bacterium. Its description in RNAcentral is "partial 16S ribosomal RNA". It matches the Rfam family "Bacterial small subunit ribosomal RNA", at positions 354 to 796 of the family's 1533-position model. The record is from RNAcentral.